ACAAGCAAGUCCAGUCUCGGCACUGGAAAAAAAGAAAAAGACGCCUGUUUCUUUCUUUUUUUCCAGUGCCGAGAUUGGACUCGCUUGU
RNAcentral lists this microRNA precursor (88 nucleotides) under Ixodes scapularis (black-legged tick). RNAcentral describes it as "microRNA mir-263". The record is from RNAcentral. Lineage: Eukaryota; Metazoa; Arthropoda; Arachnida; Ixodida; Ixodidae.